This 730-nucleotide ribosomal RNA is filed under the name uncultured bacterium. Its description in RNAcentral is "bacterial SSU rRNA". It matches the Rfam family "Bacterial small subunit ribosomal RNA", at positions 1 to 716 of the family's 1533-position model. The record is from RNAcentral.
UAGAGUUUGAUCAUGGCUCAGAUUGAACGCUGGCGGCAGGCCUAACACAUGCAAGUCGAGCGGCAGCGACUUAACUGAACCUUCGGGGAACGUUAAGGGCGGCGAGCGGCGGACGGGUGAGUAAUGCCUGGGAAUAUGCCCUGAUGUGGGGGAUAACUAUUGGAAACGAUAGCUAAUACCGCAUAAUCUCUUCGGAGCAAAGAGGGGGACCUUCGGGCCUCUCGCGUCAGGAUUAGCCCAGGUGGGAUUAGCUUGUUGGUGAGGUAAUGGCUCACCAAGGCAACGAUCCCUAGCUGGUCUGAGAGGAUGAUCAGCCACACUGGAACUGAGACACGGUCCAGACUCCUACGGGAGGCAGCAGUGGGGAAUAUUGCACAAUGGGGGAAACCCUGAUGCAGCCAUGCCGCGUGUAUGAAGAAGGCCUUCGGGUUGUAAAGUACUUUCAGUAGGGAGGAAGGCAGUGUCGUUAAUAGCGGCAUUGUUUGACGUUACCUGCAGAAGAAGCACCGGCUAACUCCGUGCCAGCAGCCGCGGUAAUACGGAGGGUGCGAGCGUUAAUCGGAAUUACUGGGCGUAAAGCGCAUGCAGGCGGUCUGUUAAGCAAGAUGUGAAAGCCCGGGGCUCAACCUCGGAACAGCAUUUUGAACUGGCAGACUAGAGUCUUGUAGAGGGGGGUAGAAUUUCAGGUGUAGCGGUGAAAUGCGUAGAGAUCUGAAGGAAUACCGGUGGC